RNAcentral lists this ribosomal RNA (491 nucleotides) under uncultured bacterium. RNAcentral describes it as "partial 16S ribosomal RNA". It matches the Rfam family "Bacterial small subunit ribosomal RNA", at positions 29 to 506 of the family's 1533-position model. The record is from RNAcentral.
AGUGAACGCUGGCGGUAGGCCUAACACAUGCAAGUCGAACGGCAGCACAGUAAGAGCUUGCUCUUACGGGUGGCGAGUGGCGGACGGGUGGGGAAUACAUCGGAAUCUACUUUUUCGUGGGGGAUAACGUAGGGAAACUUACGCUAAUACCGCAUACGACCUACGGGUGAAAGCAGGGGAUCUUCGGACCUUGCGCGAUUGAAUGAGCCGAUGUCGGAUUAGCUAGUUGGCGGGGUAAAGGCCCACCAAGGCGACGAUCCGUAGCUGGUCUGAGAGGAUGAUCAGCCACACUGGAACUGAGACACGGUCCAGACUCCUACGGGAGGCAGCAGUGGGGAAUAUUGGACAGUGGGCGCAAGCCUGAUCCAGCCAUACCGCGUGGGUGAAGAAGGCCUUCGGGUUGUAAAGCCCUUUUGUUGGGAAAGAAAAGCAGCAGGUUAAUACCCCGCUGUUCUGACGGUACCCAAAGAAUAAGCACCGGCUAACUUCGU